GAAUGUGAGUGAUCUCUGGCCCAAACAUCUAUCAGCCAGGUGAUUCUAGAUUGAUUUGGCUGAUCUGGAGGGUUAGAUGGCUGUCCUCUAGCCUACACUGUUUCAAAUGAAACCCUCCAAAGGCAGAGAACUCGGUCCUAAAGAAAAACUUUCCAAAUAGAGACAUACUUGUCUUCCAAGUGGCUAAGUCGAGAAGAGAGAGACACUUCUUUUGCUAGCCGAG
Molecule: small nuclear RNA, 223 nt
Filed under: Procavia capensis (Cape rock hyrax)
Lineage: Eukaryota; Metazoa; Chordata; Mammalia; Hyracoidea; Procaviidae
Description: 7SK RNA (ENSPCAG00000020376.1)
Rfam family: 7SK RNA (bases 1-179)
About the family: 7SK was discovered as an abundant small nuclear RNA in the mid-70s but a possible function has only recently been suggested. Two independent studies have found that 7SK RNA binds the CDK9/cyclin T complex (known as elongation factor P-TEFb).
Source: RNAcentral